This 443-nucleotide ribosomal RNA is filed under the name uncultured bacterium. RNAcentral describes it as "bacterial SSU rRNA". It matches the Rfam family "Bacterial small subunit ribosomal RNA", at positions 338 to 795 of the family's 1533-position model. The record is from RNAcentral.
CCUACGGGGGGCUGCAGUAGGGAAUUUUGCGCAAUGGGGGCAACCCUGACGCAGCGACGCCGCGUGAGUGAUGAAAGCCUUCGGGUUGUAAAACUCUGUCCUUGGGGAAGAAACAAAUGACGGUACCUGAGGAGGAAGCCCCGGCUAACUACGUGCCAGCAGCCGCGGUAAUACGUAGGGGGCGAGCGUUGUCCGGAAUUAUUGGGCGUAAAGGGUGCGUAGGCGGUCUUUUAAGUCAGAUGUGAAAGACCACAGCUUAACUGUGGGGUUGCAUUUGAAACUGGAAGGCUUGAGUAUCGGAGAGGGUAGUGGAAUUCCCGGUGUAGCGGUGAAAUGCGUAGAUAUCGGGAGGAAUACCAGUGGCGAAGGCGCCUACCUGGACGAAAACUGACGCUGAGGCACGAAAGCUGGGGCAGCAAACAGGAUUAGAUACCCCAGUAGUC